This 660-nucleotide ribosomal RNA is filed under the name Triticum petropavlovskyi. Its description in RNAcentral is "eukaryotic LSU rRNA". The stretch from base 244 to 399 matches the Rfam family "5.8S ribosomal RNA". The record is from RNAcentral. Lineage: Eukaryota; Viridiplantae; Streptophyta; Magnoliopsida; Poales; Poaceae.
CUGCGGAAGGAUCAUUGUCGUGACCCUGACCAAAACAGACCGCGCACGCGUCAUCCAACCCGUCGGUGACGGCACUGUCCGUCGCUCGGCCAAUGCCUCGACCACCUCCCCUCCUCGGAGCGGGUGGGGGCUCGGGGUAAAAGAACCCACGGCGCCGAAGGCGUCAAGGAACACUGUGCCUAACCCGGGGGCAUGGCUAGCUUGCUAGCCGUCCCUUGUGUUGCAAAGCUAUUUAAUCCACACGACUCUCGGCAACGGAUAUCUCGGCUCUCGCAUCGAUGAAGAACGUAGCGAAAUGCGAUACCUGGUGUGAAUUGCAGAAUCCCGCGAACCAUCGAGUCUUUGAACGCAAGUUGCGCCCGAGGCCACUCGGCCGAGGGCACGCCUGCCUGGGCGUCACGCCAAAACACGCUCCCAACCACCCUCAUCGGGAAUCGGGAUGCGGCAUCUGGUCCCUCGUCUCGCAAGGGGCGGUGGACCGAAGAUCGGGCUGCCGGUGUACCGCGCCGGACACAGCGCAUGGUGGGCGUCCUCGCUUUAUCAACGCAGUGCAUCCGACGCGCAGCCGACAUUAUGGCCUCAGAACGACCCAGCAAACGAAGCGCACGUUGCUUCGACCGCGACCCCAGGUCAGGCGGGACUACCCGCUGAGUUUAAGCA